This 83-nucleotide transfer RNA is filed under the name Schistocephalus solidus. It matches the Rfam family "tRNA". Rfam says of the family: Transfer RNA (tRNA) molecules are approximately 80 nucleotides in length. Their secondary structure includes four short double-helical elements and three loops (D, anti-codon, and T loops). The record is from Rfam by way of RNAcentral. Lineage: Eukaryota; Metazoa; Platyhelminthes; Cestoda; Diphyllobothriidea; Diphyllobothriidae.
GGCCUUGUAGCUCAGUUGAUUAGACCGUUGGCUCUUCUUAAACCUUCUCCUUGCUGGUGUGGGUUCGAGUCCCACCGAGGCCA